CUGAAGGUCUGUAGUUCGAUCCUGCAUGGGGGCAACCCGUUUUAGGUAGAAAUGUGAAAUUAUUUUGCCAACGGAGAGGCUAGAUUAGGAUUUUUCUUCCGUUAGCUCUAUAUUAUUCCCGCUGCCAUGGAGAUGCGAAGAGGCUUAUUGCUUUCGAUAAACAUUGCAUUCUUCAAUGGGAUUUCGAAACCACGGGGCGCGCCAACGAAAGCGUAAAUCAAACAUCAAUCCAAUGCUUAUUUGCAGUUUUCCUUAUAGAUAUAUAUACAAGGGCAACGCCAGGUGCAGCAGGAGUAGAGCGGUGAAAAAUGUCUUCAACGAUUUCAAGAAGAGGUUUGACAGUGAAGUCACGGUCAUCAGGAGCAUUAGUGGCUUCGAUU
This is a non-coding RNA of Carica papaya (papaya), 380 nucleotides long. The record is from RefSeq and is a predicted model, not a curated record. Lineage: Eukaryota; Viridiplantae; Streptophyta; Magnoliopsida; Brassicales; Caricaceae.